Molecule: long non-coding RNA, 3301 nt
Organism: Gigantopelta aegis
Lineage: Eukaryota; Metazoa; Mollusca; Gastropoda; Neomphalida; Peltospiridae
Exons: 6
Source: RefSeq, a predicted model, not a curated record
CCGCCGUGACAUACGGCGCGGUGAAUACAUUUGACCAAUUAGAACUCAGCUAAGAAAUUACGUCACAGGUUUUCCCAACCUGUCAAUUUCGGCGUGACAAAUGGCCCGGUCUUGCGGAUUUGUUGUGAUUUUAUCGAAAUUAGGUAGAAACACCACCGCCACAUUCCAAUGCUGACAAUCGGUCACUGUAUAUUUUUUAUUACUUGAAGGAAGGAAAACAUCACCCAGAUGUAACUGUCGGUCACCAAAGUGGAAUCAGAAAGGCCGUUAAAAAAUAUUCCAUUAAAGGUGACAAUCUUUAUUAUGAAGCCAAGGGAAAACACCAGCUGGUAUGCCAUUCCAGAGAAGAGCGUGUGUCUGCCCUUAAGCACUGCCAUGAUGAACCAGGAACUGGUGGACAUUGGGGCAGAAACAAAACGCUGGACAAGAUACAGGAAUCCUAUUACUGGCUGGGGAUGGCAAAGGAUGUUGAGAAAUGGAUCAACGAAUGUGACCAGUGUCAGCGCCAGGAAAGGCUAAAGACAAUAGCACCAAUUCUGCAUCCAAUCGAGACCGAUUCUCCUUGGGAUUUAAUAGGGAUAGACCUGAUCGGCCCCUUUCAGAAAACAGAAGGUGGUAACAAUGAAUACAUAGCAGAGCAGAGCGCGAGAAACAUGUGCCUGAGGGUCUUGCUGAGUGGAAGAGUGUGCAAUAUCUCUGCAGCCAGCAGUUGGAUGGGAACAGUUGCAGUAUAUUCACAUGCAUGAAUGCUGAAUGCCUUGUAAAAGAUGUUUGCCCGACAGUCAUGCGCCAGCACCACGUUCCAUACUAUCGGGAGUAUGUGAUGAAGACACUGCUAGCUGCCAGGAACACAGACAACUGCGACUCCAAACUGUGUUUGCGUCCACAACUAAAAUGCUUGGAAUGGAAGGGUUGUGAUGGAUGUUUGAUGUGGGAGCAUUCUGUUUGCACGAUAAUAACAGACAAGCACCCGUACUGUGGACUUUGUUUGCCAUUGCACUACAAAAACUAAACAUUCUCAUUUCUUGAAUUUGCACUUUGAAUUCUUAUUGCUAUUUUCCUAUAGUCAUAUUAAGUUUUAAUUUGAAUGCAUACACAAUUACUUGAAGAUUUAUGUAAGAAAUGUACAAAAUUAUUUAUUAUAUUCAUAUAUUUAUCAUAUAAUAGCUAGCACAUCUAGUGUAAUCAAAGUAUGUGAUAUUUUUCAAACUAGAUUAAUUGAGGUCAUGGCAAAUGUUCUACGGUGACACUGCAUGCAUAAUUGUGACACUCCAUAAUUGAUGUGUGCAUUCAAAUAAAAACAUUUCAAUAGCAAUUUCACAUUCAGCACUACUAGUGUAGGGACAUCCAAAAUGACGUCAUUUGAAUCAGAAUCACAUUCUUACAUCAUUUGAAUAUCUAGUAAUGGCAGACUGGAAUUAAAGUUGCGUAUACAGUUUACAAAAAUAUGUUGCAUUAAGCUUGAGAUUAUAUGAUAAAGAGAUUAUGACCCUCGUGUGUUUCAAUAUCUUCAGUAUCAUAUAUUAGGAAUAAAAAUAUCAUACUGUGAAAUCUUUACUAGAUUAAUGGUUCUCACUUUAUGUCCAAAAUCUGGAAUAAAUAUAAUUCUCUGAGUACUGUGCAUGAUAAAUAAAAUGACUGCCUUAAGAUAUCGGCUUUAUUAUGCUCAGGUUGAAUGGCAAAUGCUGUUCUUUGCAGGAUAAAGUCGAUAUCUUAAGACAGUAACCAGUUAUUCUCCCUCCAUCUAAUGACCACCCUGGCCAUCACACUGUAAAGACACUAAAUAGAUUGGAAUAGUUCCUUAUUAUUUUUUAAUAAAAAUAGUCAGGUACUUAAGACCUCCACUAUUGCAGAUUAUGACCAGAAUAGUCGGACACAAAUGGUUAUUUUUAAUACAUUUUUUCUCCACCGAUACAAUUACAACAUGACCUAUUUUUAUCCCGUCUCACAUGUGAUAACCCAUAAUGGUAUGUCUCAUAAUAAAGGGUGACUAUUGUUCACUGCAGAAUUGUCAAGACAUUCAGUCAGAUAUGGCAAAUAAGCACAAAUUUCCUUCAUUUGUAUCAGAGUUUGAAGUACAAGAAUGAUCAUGAGUGGACAAAUUGAAUGGGACCCUGGGGGUUAUACACAAGAAGAUCCAUAAACAGUUUAGUGUUGGUUGUACUAUUUGUAGAUGUUAGUUUGUUUUUUUAUUUAUUUAAUUCAACCAAACUGGAUGUCGUAAUUGUGACAUAUAGUCUGAGAAAUCAGAUUCAAUACAAACUACCAAGCCACUGUGCAUACAGUUGCUACAUCCAUUCUUUUAAUCAACAUAAUUAUGACCACAGAAAUUAAUACAUGUACACUCAUAUCUCACCAAUGGCAGACAGCAGUAUUCAGUGCUCAAUUUAUGGUUUUGGCACUUUAAAUAUUGACCUUGUGAAAUGCUUUUGUAUAUACAUGUAGUACUGUAUAUGUGUAAGAUGCUUUUGUACUUGAUAUUGUUCACAGAGAACGUCUUUAUUUAUACCUGAUGUUUUAGUAUUUCUAGCAUUAUCCUGAUUUCUGGAAUGCCACUAUGGUUUGCAAUCAACCUAUUGGUAGCUAUUUUUAAAAUUCCACUAAAAAACACAAAACAUACUAUUAGAUUCAAACCACAAUUCUUUUUACCUGUGUUUAUUAAAAUAACUAAUAAGAGAAGUAUGUUGCCAUUAGUAAAUAUCAUUUACAGUAUAAUUCAAUGUUAUUACACAAUUAUGUAUUUUGUACUGUCCACUAAAUUACGAUGUUGUCCACCGUUACUAAAUGUCCAAAAUUUGCAUUUAUAGCCAAUAUUCCAGGACUAUACUUUAAAUAGAUUACACCAUUAUGUGGUAUACACAAUAAUGUAAGAGAUAUAUCAAUGCAGUGAAACCCCUCUAAACCAGACACCAAUGGAAACAAGUAAAACGUAAGGUGUAUCUAGUAAAGAUGAGUUCUAUUCUGUACUGAUAUCUAAAAUGGUACCAUGAAAAAUUUCUGGUUUACAGAGGGGUCCAGUUUUGAGGGGUUUGACUGUAGUAACAUGCUAGCAUUAACCCCGACAAAAUUACAUUUCUACCUAUUUGCUAUAGUUGAAGGUAACUUAGCAGACAGUAGCAUAUAGUAAAUAUUUCCCAUCAUAUGACCUUGUCAUUCUGACCUACAUGUAUUAUCAUGCAGGCUUUUGUAGAUUUUUGAUAUACUUGAUCUACUUUGUGAUAGAAUGGUUAAACCCAUUCAGUAUAUUGGUAGUUUAUUGCAUGGGUAACUUGGUGGACAGAAUAAAGAAUUAGAAAAAGUA